UGAGGAAUCUUGCGCAAUGGGCGAAAGCCUGACGCAGCGACGCCGCGUGGAGGAUGAAGGUCUUCGGAUUGUAAACUCCUGUCGAGUGGGACGAAUGCCGUGAGGGUGAACAAUCCUCAUGGUUGACGGUACCGCUGGAGGAAGCCCCGGCUAACUCCGUGCCAGCAGCCGCGGUAAUACGGAGGGGGCUAGCGUUGUUCGGAAUCAUUGGGCGUAAAGGGCGCGUAGGCGGCCGAUCCAAGUCGGAGGUGAAAUCCCUCGGCUCAACUGAGGAAUGGCCUUCGAUACUGUUCGGCUUGAGUCCUGGAGAGGGUAGCGGAAUUCCCGGUGUAGCGGUGAAAUGCGUAGAGACCGGGAAGAACACCAGUGGCGAAGGCGGCUACCUGGACAGGUACUGACGCUGAAGCGCGAAAGCUAGGGGAGCAAACAGGAUUAGAUACCCCCGUAGUCCCUGAGCGGGCUGGCAAGGCGCAU
RNAcentral lists this ribosomal RNA (474 nucleotides) under uncultured bacterium. Its description in RNAcentral is "bacterial SSU rRNA". It matches the Rfam family "Bacterial small subunit ribosomal RNA", at positions 355 to 825 of the family's 1533-position model. The record is from RNAcentral.